RNAcentral lists this ribosomal RNA (519 nucleotides) under uncultured eukaryote. Its description in RNAcentral is "SSU rRNA". It matches the Rfam family "Eukaryotic small subunit ribosomal RNA", at positions 1161 to 1699 of the family's 1831-position model. The record is from RNAcentral.
AGGGCACCACCAGGAGUGGAGCCUGCGGCUUAAUUUGACUCAACACGGGGAAACUUACCCGGCCUGGACACUGGAAGGAUUGACAGAUUGAGAGCUCUUUCUUGAUUCAGUGGGUGGUGGUGCAUGGCCGUUCUUAGUUGGUGGAGCGAUUUGUCUGGUUAAUUUCGAUAACGAACGAGACUCUAGCCUAUUAAAUAGGCUCUCGGCUUUUAAACGCCGGGAGGACUUCUUAGAGGGACAGGUGGCGGUUCAGCCGCACGAAAGAGAGCAAUAACAGGUCUGUGAUGCCCUUUGUUGUCCGGGGCCGCACGCGCGCUACACUGAAGAGAUCAGCGUGCUUUACGUUCCUGCUCCGACCGGAGUGGGGAACCCAGUGAACCUUCUUCGUGAUUGGGAUAGAAGAUUGUAAUUAUUCUUCUUGAACGAGGAAUUCCCAGUAAAUGCGAGUCAUAAGCUCGCGUUGAUUACGUCCCUGCCCUUUGUACACACCGCCCGUCGCUACUACCGAUUGAACGAUUU